AGGUUGUUCAUGAAGGUUUGUUGGAGGGCUUUGUAAUAGCUUCUCUCACAGGAGCAUCUCUAUGUGUUUCCCAUUUGCUGUAUGCAGAUGAUGUACUAAUCUUUUGUGGGGCAAUGCCGAAACAGGUGGGUUACUUGCGAUGUGUUUUGCUGUGUUUCGAGGCAGUUUCUGGCCUUUGGGUGAAUUUGAGGAAAUCCGAGCUGAUUUCAGUGGGUAAUGUGGAGGGAUUGCCCGUGUUAGCGACGGUGUUAGGCUGUAAGGUGUCGACUUUACCGGUGACUUAUUUGGAUUUGCCGUUGGGAGCAUCGUUUAAAGCUCAAAGGGUAUGGGAAGGGGUUGUGGAACAAAUUCAACGUCAUUUAGCAGGCUGGAAGAGGCAAUAUCUUUCAGUCGAGGGCCGACUGACUCUGAUCAAGAGUGUGAAGGUGAUGGACUUACCCAUACAUCUUCGCGGCAAUUUGAUGUACCGAGUUAUUGGCGAUCGAUGUGGUGGUUUUGUGGACACCGACGAACUGUCGGGGGACCUUGGGGUGGUCCGAUUACGUGUCAGAUAGGGUUUUGGUGCGCCGACAGUGGAGGCUGAUACGCCGUCAAGAGGGACAACGGGUGGACUGCGUAUGAAGAAGAAUGGGCGUGACUGGAUGCAUGAUCGUCAGAAUGGGCAUAGAUUUGGGUAUAUACCAAAUUUUCAGAGAUUUAGGGCUAGACUAGAUUUUCAACGAUUUGGGGGAAAUCAAGGUCAACGUUUGCUUUUUAAGAAACAGCAAGCUCAGGAGUGGAAGGGCCACGGCAGGCACCGUAUGGGGUUAGGCCCAGUGGGUCAAGGAAAUAAGCAAAUGGGUCAUGGUGGGAAAAAUAAUAGGCUCGUAGGGGAAGGUGUUAGUUUGGGCUUAACUGUUCUGGGGAUGGGCUGGAGCUCUUAAUGUCUAGGUCCAUUCCUCAACAUGCGGGUCCGGAGACGGAUCUCCCAGUGCAACGGAUUUUUGAGUCCUUGUGCAACAGUGUGAGGGAGCACGUGUCGAAGGCAGGGAUGUUGGCCGAGACGUCAGUGAGAAUGGAGCAGGGUUUGUCGUCAAGGGAGUAGGAUGGGUCAUCCGCGAGACAUGGGCUUGGGUCUUCUGAUAAGGCAGCAGACUCUUUCAAGGCUCUCGUAGUGUUGUUGUGGAAGGGCAGAUGGCGACAAUAUCGGGUGUCAAGGCAAGGAUAUGUCGUCAACUGGAUGACGAGUUGUGGGACGAACAGGGAGUUGUUCUGUCAUGGGGUGCCAGGGCUGAAGCAGAAAUGGAGGAGGGCUGUGACAAUUUGGCUCUGGUUUUGCAACCGUUGGCCGUGGAUAGGGGUGACCAGGAGGGAUUGAUGGGCCCAACACCGAUGCAGGUUGAGAGUAGCAAUGUCUUGGGUAGGAAUGAGAUACCUGCAGCUAAGGAGGUCUCAGAUUGGGUGCUAGAACGCAUAGUUGAGGUUAGUCGACUACUGGGGUUGUAAUUCGAAGGCCACGAGGAGGAAGCUUUACGAUUAUUCUCAGUAGUGGAGGCGUCAUGGCGAAAGGGAUCUCCUAGUAAAGAAGUGGUUACAGUGGCGGAUACUUAGCGGUGAAGGCAGUAUUGCGUAGGGCAAGAGUUGAUGUGGUGUGCUUACAGGAGACAAAGAUGGAGGUGUUAAAGGUAGAGGUGGUGCGGGAAAUUUGGGGGGGUGUAGGUUUGUGGAAUGGCUACAUUUGCCGGCAAUGGGCACGACGGGUGGUGUAUUGCUUUGCUGGGACUUGCUGGGACUCGAGGGUUGUUGAGAAGGAAGAGAAGUUUGGCAGUUUUUCAGUGUCUUAUCUAUUUCGGUGUGUGGAGGACCAAUUUCGAUGGGUGUUCACGGGGGUGUAUGGUCCAGUACGACGUGUUGAUUGAGGAGAGUUCCUGUCAGAGUUGGAGGCUGUGGCGUUCCGUUGGUCUGAACCUUGGUGUAUGCGAGGUGACUUCAACAUGAUGAGGUUGCCAAGUGAGAGGGUGGGGAGUUCUCGGGAGUCGGGCUCUAUGUGGAGUUUCUGUUCUUUCAUUAAUGAAUUGUGUCUGAUUGACUUACCGCUUCAAGGAGGGAGAGUCACCUGGUCAAAUGGGCAGAGUCUGUCUCGGAUUGAUCGAUUUCUGAUCUCGAAGUGAUUGGGAGGAGCAUUUUUUGGAGGUGGCUCAGUUUCGAUUGGCCCGCCCGAUGUCUCAUCACUGACCUCUUUUACUUGAUGGUGGGGGCUUCGCAGUAACCUUACGCCUUUUCAUUUGGAGAAUAUAUGGUUGCAAGCAGAUGGUUUCUUGGAGAUGGUGUGGGAAUGUUGGUUUACUUAUGCAGUUACAAGCUCGCCUAGUUAUAUGUUGGCACAGAAGCUGAAAUUACUUAAAGAGGAUUUGAAAAGCUGGAAUAGGGAGGUGUUUGGCCAUUUAGAAGGUCAGAGAGAGGCAGUGUUGUCCUUAUUAUCUUUGUUGGAUGAUGUAGAGUCUGAAAGGGGCUUAUCACCGGAGGAUUUGCCGCGCUUCUGACACUUCCGUCGCCUGACACAGCACUGUCGGAAACCACCACACCAGAUUCAGGUCACGGCCAGCAAUAACCCACCGCUGUCGCAGCAAGGUCUCGUCGUCUUGUCGUGUCGGCAGAACAAACAAAAAGUCUUGGCCCCUGAUUGGUCGGAUUUUCACUUUCCCGAACUCCUUCCACCAACGACCGACCCAUUCUGUCAUGGCUAAAAAACCCACCCCCUUGUCCCCUCUCAAACCCACUUUACCCACUACUGCCCUGUCCAGAUAUUGGAACCACCCUUCCUCCGCCACACCAUUCACCACCUCAACUCCGCCAAUUGGGCUGAUUGUUCCCCCAGGCUUUGGAACAACCUUUUCUCGAUCAUCACCCCCUUGUCCUCACCUGCCUUCGACCCCCCUUCCGGCCCUAUAGCAAAACCUUCAAUAACCAGUGCUACCCCCUCCCAUCUAUCUCCAAACUCCGACAUAGGAAGGUAAAUCUGAGUCCUUUUGCCUUUUGACGUCACCACAAUCUGCACCGAAAAACCACCAUUGUCCUCGUCGCGAAGCCAGGUUGCCACGCUUCAUCCCUUCCCUUCUAGCCGGCCUGAAAAAGAAUGACGAUCGGACAUGUGGGACUCCGUCCUCAGUUUCCUGGUGGUCCAAUGUACUUCAAACCCCGACAGCACCACCUCCCGCUGCAACCCUUGCUCCUGCUCCCCUAUAGACAAUUGGUGGUGGCCUCUGUGAUCUGCAACCACUUCUUCAAACUCAAAGGACCUACCUCCAAGGAAAAGGAUUCGGCGACGUGGUCCUGUCGCCCCCUUCACCAGAAUCAUCCCAGGUAACUAUCGCAUCCCACUGGAAAUUCUUAAUAAGGAAAGUCUUAGAGAGAGUAGCAAAUAAAAAUAUAAGAAGCCUUCACACGAGACAUCAAUAAUGCUUAAAAGUCCAAUUCUAACUCUGGUUGACUUCAAUCACUUAAUAGUUCAUACACUUAUAAUGGGUUGUGCAUGCUCAUUGUCAAGAGUAGUCCCAUACCAUUACUGAGCAUGAAUCAAUUCGCAGC
Molecule: non-coding RNA, 3567 nt
Organism: Camellia sinensis
Lineage: Eukaryota; Viridiplantae; Streptophyta; Magnoliopsida; Ericales; Theaceae
Source: RefSeq, a predicted model, not a curated record